Molecule: long non-coding RNA, 3855 nt
Organism: Tigriopus californicus
Lineage: Eukaryota; Metazoa; Arthropoda; Copepoda; Harpacticoida; Harpacticidae
Exons: 2
Source: RefSeq, a predicted model, not a curated record
AUAUCGAGGUGGAGGAAUUUUUGAUGUAUAAAAUGCUGACGUCGCCCUAAUCUGGCGUCAGUCGAGUGGCAGCGCAUGUGAGGUGACACGUAGAUACUGAGAUUGGCGCAAUUGUCCUUCGUGGCCAAAUCCUGGAAAAUGAGUGUCCAUCUAGAUCAUAGCGUUCCCCCUCACUGUCUCCAAGCUCGUAUGACGACAUCUUGGAUAAUGGCAAACUCGUGUUCGUGAUGGAGCAUAAACUUAGUUGACAACCGCUGCCACUCGACCUCCGACCAGUUGACCUAGGGGCCCGUAAGCACUAUAUUCGCAUCCUUUCGUUAAGACAUUACCAUCAACAAGUAAAUGAAAAUAUUUGGGUUUAUGGGGCCAUUGACACAAACAAUCUUGUAGAUAGGAAGAAACAAUGCCUCCUAGGCUUGUUCCUUGUUUCUUUUUGCAGUUUCAUUGCAGUUCUUGGGGUUUAGGUUGUUUUGAAGCCACGUUAAACGACGCGUUUUGUGGCUAGUUGUCUAUAAACCUGAAGAUAGAAAUCUCAUGUAGCGACUACUGAACAGUUCAACCUGCUAAGCGACCACAAUUAUGACAAACAGCAAAUGAGCCGACAUCCAAGCUUCUUCGGGUUCACUACUCCAAACUUCGUCAUACCACUGCUCCAUCGCCAUUCAAGUUAGAAUCACAAUUUUAAGAGGCAUGACCUCUUCAUUGCUGCUGAACCUCCAUCUACUUCUUCGUUUACUCCUCUUCUCAAUUUAGCCCUACUAAACCAUUGAAACUGCUGCUCGUAGUCGUCGCAACCUAGUUUUUGACACAAGGUAUUUUAUUUUUGCCCUUAACUUGUUGGUAUCGCUAUGCAAAAACCUCUACCAUCCGCUCGAAAGAAGCGGGUGACGAAAUAACUGAAAGGGUGUAUAUGUUACGGUACUUAACAAUAUUUGCGUUUCUUGACGCUUUGUGUAGCCAGUUUUCAUUUGUUCUUGCCCUGUCUUUCCGAUUUCUAUCGAGUGGACUUAACAGUAUGUACUUUUAGCAUUAUUGCUACCUCCGGUGUAACUGCUGCUACAACUUCAUCAACAGCAAACUAUUUUCAACUACCUCCAUUUCUACCACUACUAUUACUAUAUUAGUUCCACUCAAAAGGUUCAAGCAACCGGUGACACAUACACCGCAUUUAUACAUAUUCUUUUCUGGGACACUAAAUAGUCUGUGUUUGAACAUAUUUCUGACCCUCUCUGCCUGUACCAUGGGAAACACUUUCUUAGCCCAGCUUCACAAAUCACCUCUAAAAUCCUAGAUUGUUCAUUAAUAUCUUGUCUUAGCUUUGAUGCUGAAAAUUUGGCACGUGGACGGACAAUAAGGUGAUUUAUGCUAUCUCUGGCUUGCUUGCACUUGAGACACGAGUGCUUCAAAAUAAUUUCAGUGCAUUUGAUUUUUAUCAGAACAAGGUUGUUGCUUUUUGUGUGGGAAUGGGUGCUAACAGAGUUCAGACGUCGAGUCAUAACCAGGCUCAAUUUAAACGUACCUGUCAAAUAUUUUGUCCACUUGCCUAGUUUCGAAGUUUGCCUUUCAAUGUUACUCUACCCUCAGCCUCCUUUCUACCAUCACAUCUUGUAUGUGUCUUUACAGCCUUGAGGUGAUCUGUUCUCAAGGCAGAAAUACCUAGCACUGCCUCCUCUGAACCUUUGAUGCUUUUGUAUUUUGUAAUAUUUUAAAGUAACUCUUCUCUACAACUCAGCAUGUUUUGAUUGGAAUGUGGGUCAUUUUUGUCGUGACAAAUCGCUCGCACACAUCGUAGAGCGUUUGUUCUAAAAAGAAGAUACAAAUCCCAUUGAAAUGCUUCAGUCUGCUCCUCAUAUUACAUAUUGUUAUAUUCAAUCAAAUGUUACUAACCGUCGAAAGUAUACCGAUUAGUUUUACUCACCGCCACUGUUGAUACCAUAGCGACCGCAACAUUACUCAGAGUUCGUGUAUGGUUCUUGUGGCUCAAUUCUUACACCACCUCCUAUUGCUACUAUCGCCAUUACUAUUACAUUUACUACUGUUACUACUACUUACUACUACUACUUACUACUUACCACUACUACUACUACCAUUAUUACAUUACUUCUACUGCACAUUAUGCUCUGACCAUCAACAACAACAUCCAAGAAGAUAUAAAGCUAUUGUUAUUAUACAGAUAAUGAUGUUGCAGUACUUGUGUAAAUGCAGCUAUAUCUGCAGAUUCCUUUGUUUGGAGUAGUGCUACCUUACUACUGACCUGUUUCAAGUUUUCGUUGGUAACAUUUAUUGCUAUUGCACCCUUCAGUCCAUGAUUGCUGGUUCUGCUACUCUUUACAUUUAUUGGAGACCGUGACACCUUCGGCCUUCGUCCACGACUAAUAUUACUAGUUAAACAUCGUCAAAUUAGUGCAUGUCCUUGGCCAUCUUAAAUACUCUCUUAGUCCUGCUGUUUUGGGAGGGUGGGAUUGCUGUUUUGUGUAUUUAAAGGCGUUAAUUGGUUCUCGUACUUGUUUUGCUCACCUUUUCUAUCAUCAAACUACUUUUGAGCACCAAUUAAAAGACCUUGUGUCAUGGACGUGCCCUUUCUUGGAUAUGGUGGUUCACUCUAUCGUACUUGACAAGAUACCUAAAAGCUCUUGGCAGAGUGGGAAGGAUAUGAAUAUGUUGGCACUGGUGGGAACAUCAAGAUAUAAAUCAUAUUUACUAGUUCAUAUUUCGGAACUAGGUUGUCACGACGAGCAUUGAGCUAUUAACCGAGCCCUUGGAAGAUAUAAGAAGCAGAGCAAGCAUAGACGAUCCGAUCCGUCUGUUUUAGGCAAGUGAAAAACUCCGACUUUGAUUGAUUUCCUUUAAUGGAAUAUCGGCUUUUGUUUCCAAUGAUCGUCUGAAGCUAUACAGUUUCAGUUGUAUAUUCCCUUGGAUUGUUCAUCCAUCCUCCAUCGUCCAAUUUUUAUUAGCUUAGCCCAAUCGUACCUUUGUUACUUGAAUGUUCUUGCACGCUUUCAAGUGAACUCUACCUUUUUCUACUUCCAAAAUCAAGUCUCAGUAGAAAUUUAUUCCCACUCCACGUAGCGAGAGUGGGCCAUCAAGUAACGAGCAAUCUUUCAGACGGAAGGAUCCGUUACAGUUUGGGGCAUAUGGCCAAAAAUUGCUUUUAUCCUUGUGAGUCUUCAUGCCCGUCUAUUCUCAAAACGUAUAGUUGUUGCCACUUUCAUCUGCUCUACCAUUACCACUACAACCAUCACCACCAAUCCAACAUGAAGAUAGAAAACUAAAAUUUCUUCUACAUCAACCAUCAAAAUUUGUAAGUCUCCCAAGUCCUGAUUCAAACUUUAAACACGCACCUCCAUACCUUUGAGCAAGAAAACCAGCUCCCUUGUCAAUGGGUAACUUCUACAUCUUCCUAAGGCCAGGGCGAAUUCACUUAACCCUUAGUGGACCUCAUGAUAUGAUGGGGUGGGUGGUGUCUAUUUUCUGGAUGCACGACGUCAAUUGGACCUUUAUAAAUUUCCGUUAAGAAAUUUGUCAGAUGAUGCCUGGCAUAUUCAAGAAGAUAGAAAACAAACUUGAUUUAUAAUGUAAAUAGUACUGAAGCUACCUCUACUACUUACCUCCAAAACUGCUACUACCAGAACCAUCACCACCUCCACAACUCUUACCAUUUCCUUCUACUACUACUACUACUACUACUGCUACUACUGCUGCCACCGAAUCACUUCCAGUUCUAUUACCAACAUUUAAUUCCAAGUCCAAAUCAAUUGUUCAGUGUGCUGAAGACUGAAAAACAGGCAACGCAAAGUUUUCUUGACUCCCGAGGAUUUCCCCUAAAUGGCAAUGAAAUUGGAUGGGAAACAAACU